GGUUCAGGACGAACGCUGGCGGCGUGCUUAACACAUGCAAGUCGAACGAUGAUGCCCAGCUUGCUGGGUGGAUUAGUGGCGAACGGGUGAGUAACACGUGAGUAACCUGCCCUUGACUUCGGGAUAACUCCGGGAAACCGGGGCUAAUACCGGAUAUGAGCCGCUCUCGCAUGGGGGUGGUUGGAAAGUUUUUCGGUCAGGGAUGGGCUCGCGGCCUAUCAGCUUGUUGGUGGGGUGAUGGCCUACCAAGGCGACGACGGGUAGCCGGCCUGAGAGGGCGACCGGCCACACUGGGACUGAGACACGGCCCAGACUCCUACGGGAGGCAGCAGUGGGGAAUAUUGCACAAUGGGCGAAAGCCUGAUGCAGCGACGCCGCGUGAGGGAUGAAGGCCUUCGGGUUGUAAAC
This 408-nucleotide ribosomal RNA is filed under the name Cellulosimicrobium sp. P581. RNAcentral's name for it is "bacterial SSU rRNA". It matches the Rfam family "Bacterial small subunit ribosomal RNA", at positions 21 to 430 of the family's 1533-position model. The record is from RNAcentral. Lineage: Bacteria; Bacillati; Actinomycetota; Actinomycetes; Micrococcales; Promicromonosporaceae.